RNAcentral lists this ribosomal RNA (467 nucleotides) under uncultured bacterium. Its description in RNAcentral is "partial 16S ribosomal RNA". It matches the Rfam family "Bacterial small subunit ribosomal RNA", at positions 28 to 507 of the family's 1533-position model. The record is from RNAcentral.
GAUGAACGCUGGCGGCGUGCUUAACACAUGCAAGUCGAACGGAAAGGCCCAAGCUUGCUUGGGUACUCGAGUGGCGAACGGGUGAGUAACACGUGGGUGAUCUGCCCUGCACUUCGGGAUAAGCCUGGGAAACUGGGUCUAAUACCGGAUAGGACCACUUCUUGGAUGUUGUGGUGGAAAGUUUUUUCGGUGUGGGAUGAGCUCGCGGCCUAUCAGCUUGUUGGUGGGGUAGUGGCCUACCAAGGCGUCGACGGGUAGCCGGCCUGAGAGGGUGUACGACCACAUUGGGACUGAGAUACGGCCCAGACUCCUACGGGAGGCAGCAGUGGGGAAUAUUGCACAAGGGGCGCAAGCCUGAUGCAGCGACGCCGCGUGGGGGAUGACGGCCUUCGGGUUGUAAACUCCUUUCGCUAGGGACGAAGCGUUUUGUGACGGUACCUGGAGAAGAAGCACCGGCUAACUACGUG